Molecule: ribosomal RNA, 378 nt
Filed under: uncultured cyanobacterium
Lineage: Bacteria; Bacillati; Cyanobacteriota
Description: bacterial SSU rRNA
Rfam family: Bacterial small subunit ribosomal RNA
Source: RNAcentral
GGCAACCCUGACGGAGCAACGCCGCGUGUGGGAGGACGGCCUUCGGGUUGUAAACCACUUUUCUCAGGGAAGAAACCUGACGGUACCUGAGGAAUCAGCAUCGGCUAACUCCGUGCCAGCAGCCGCGGUAAUACGGAGGAGGCAAGCGUUAUCCGGAAUUAUUGGGCGUAAAGCGUCCGCAGGUGGCGAUUCAAGUCUGCUGUCAAAGCACGGGGCUUAACUCCGUUAAGGCAGUGGAAACUGAAUGGCUAGAGUGCCGUAGGGGUAGAGGGAAUUCCCGGUGUAGCGGUGAAAUGCGUAGAGAUCGGGAAGAACAUCGGUGGCGAAGGCGCUCUACUGGGCCGCAACUGACGCUGAGGGACGAAAGCUAGGGGAGCG